UAGAGUUUGAUCAUGGCUCAGGAUGAACGCUAGCGGCAGGCUUAACACAUGCAAGUCGAAGGGCAUCGCGGGGAGUGCUUGCACUCCCUGGCGGCGACUGGCGCACGGGUGAGUAACACGUAUGCAACCUGCCCUCCACAGGGGGACAACCUUCCGAAAGGGAGGCUAAUCCCGCGUAAAUCUCGAUGGGGCAUCCCAUUGAGAGGAAAGCUUCGGCGGUGGAGGAUGGGCAUGCGGCGCAUUAGCUAGUCGGCGGGGUAACGGCCCACCGAGGCGACGAUGCGUAGGGGUUCUGAGAGGAAGGUCCCCCACACUGGUACUGAGACACGGACCAGACUCCUACGGGAGGCAGCAGUGAGGAAUAUUGGUCAAUGGGCGGGAGCCUGAACCAGCCAAGUCGCGUGAGGGAUGACGGCCCUAUGGGUUGUAAACCUCUUUUGCCGGGGAGCAAAGUGCCGCACGUGUGCGGUUUGGAGAGUACCCGGAGAAAAAGCAUCGGCUAACUCCGUGCCAGCAGCCGCGGUAAUACGGAGGAUGCGAGCGUUAUCCGGAUUUAUUGGGUUUAAAGGGUGCGUAGGCGGACGCUUAAGUCAGCGGUAAAAUUGCGGGGCUCAACCUCGUCGAGCCGUUGAAACUGGGUGCCUUGAGUGGGCGAGAAGUACGCGGAAUGCGUGGUGUAGCGGUGAAAUGCAUAGAUAUCACGCAGAACUCCGAUUGCGAAGGCAGCGUACCGGCGCCCAACUGACGCUGAAGCACGAAGGCGUGGGUAUCGAACAGGAUUAGAUACCCUGGUAGUCCACGCAGUAAACGAUGAAUGCUAGUUGUCCGGGGCGAUUGAGUUCUGGGUGACACAGCGAAAGCGUUAAGCAUUCCACCUGGGGAGUACGCCGGCAACGGU
RNAcentral lists this ribosomal RNA (898 nucleotides) under uncultured bacterium. Its description in RNAcentral is "bacterial SSU rRNA". It matches the Rfam family "Bacterial small subunit ribosomal RNA", at positions 1 to 895 of the family's 1533-position model. The record is from RNAcentral.